Long non-coding RNA from Seriola aureovittata, 980 nucleotides. RefSeq lists it as uncharacterized. The record is from RefSeq and is a predicted model, not a curated record. The transcript has 2 exons. NCBI's taxonomy places the organism in Eukaryota, Metazoa, Chordata, Actinopteri, Carangiformes, Carangidae.
ACCAAGGAAGAUGAAAACAUCAACUGUCACAGGAGAAGUCGGAUGGCUAUUCUCAGCACUGCAGGGAGCUUCAUCUCGUCUUGUAUUUGAUGGCAUAGUAUAACGGUGGCUCGAAGCCCAAGUUAAAUCAGAGACCAUGGAGUUACUGCAUCUGACACUUUGUCAGUGUGUUUGGAAAGCAACAGAACAUUUUGUCAGAGAAGAUCCAGACCUUAUUGCACUCUGGGAGACUUUCCACCAGCGUCCUCUGGAGAGGAUGCACAGUGACCAACCGUCUGAUGAAGCUACAUGAUUCAACAUGACAUGUUUAUUUGGAACUACGGUGGAAACUUAAAACGAGCUGAGAAUUUGAUGUUUUUCCACAAUUAAAGAUCUGAUUCUGGUGUAGUAAUUAAAACCGUAAAUCUUUUGGAUAUGCCAUAUUAUAGUUUCAAUAUGCCAUAUAUUUCUAAUCUGUGAGUGAGGAAACUGGCCAAUUCUUGAUGCCAGAUGCAAAAUUCUACUGAUUUAUAUUGGCAUUUGAGAACAUUACUAUAUCUCUGUUGGUUUUCUCACCGUCUUGCCCACUUCCACAAGGCAAUCCUUGUCCCUGGGAACCACACACUUGAUCUGGGAGUGCCUGCAUGACAAAUAAAGAUGACCCAGGACGCGUGUAUACAUAGAUCUCUGGGAAAAAGAUGUCACCAGACACUCCAGGGGAAUCAUGCAUGUGUGGGACACAGGAGCUGUUCCAAAAAUAGAUACAGACCUCUUGUUUGGAGAUGGUUAGAGGAAUGCAGCGCCCCCCCAUCGACUUGUUUUCACAGGAUUGACACAGGAAAAAGGCAAAGAUCCUCCUGAAACACCAGCAACAUUCAAUCUCAUCAUACAUAUUAUAAGUUUUGUAAAUUUCGGGAAUUUUCUUCAGGCCUCAUCCCUGGAUGAUAAAAUAAUAAUAAAACUGACAAAACUCUGUUUCCCAAAAUAAAUUGAUCAAUCAA